This is an RNA transcript of Falco peregrinus (peregrine falcon), 2838 nucleotides long. It is a transcript of the gene named CMP-N-acetylneuraminate-beta-galactosamide-alpha-2,3-sialyltransferase 2-like, with no coding region annotated. The record is from RefSeq and is a predicted model, not a curated record. The transcript has 4 exons. NCBI's taxonomy places the organism in Eukaryota, Metazoa, Chordata, Aves, Falconiformes, Falconidae.
UGCGCUUCUGUCCCUCUGCCGGGGGCCGCGCCGCCUCGGGCUGGCGGGGGUUGUCCCUGCCCGGCCUCGCCCCCCGCGGCGCGGGUGCGGGAGGGGAGCGGGGGCACGGCCCGGUGUGGGCAGGAGCCGGGCCGGCCGGGGCGAGGCGAAGGAGAAGGAACCCGAGGGCAGGCGGGCAGCAGCUGCCUCCUGCUGCGGGCACAGAGGGCCUGGCCCUGCGGUGGGGGGGGCCCAGCCCCGCAGCAGCCGGGUGCCAGCGUGCACAGCGGGGUCCGUGUGUCACCCGCGGGGUCCGUGUGUCACCCACAGCCUGGGGCGGCCCCCGGUGCGCGAGGGAGCGACGCGCCGUGUCCGGGAGGCCGCGUCUUGCGAGGAAGAGCUGUGACACCGUGAAAGGAUGGGAUAAGAAAACCUGAUGCCCUGAGCACGUCAUUUCCAGAGAAACAUGUUGCCUGUACACCUUCAUUUGGGAGGAGGACAGAUCCAGUGUGGGGAGGAGGCAGCGGGGCUUGCUACCGGCAGAGGGGCUGCUUCACGUGCAGGCAGCUGCCACUCUGGAGGGGAGCUGGAGUUUGGCUCGGGGCCAGGGUGCUGAUCCUAAACCCAGCUUUCCUCAAGUACAUCCAUGACAACUGGACACAGCACCACGGAUGGUACCCCUCCACCAGCUUCGCUGCCCUGCUCUUUGCCUUGCAUGCUUGCCAGCAGGUGAGCGUGGCCAGCAUGACCAGGUGCUGCCACCAUACCACCUGCCAUACCACUGUCUGUCUGUGCACCCUCAAGGGUGACCAAGCACCUGUGCAGUGAUGGCUCUGGUGUGUGUGCAGGUUUCUGUAUUUGGCUUCGGAGCAGACAGUGAAGGGAACCGGCAUGACUACUGGAAGAAAAACUGCUGGUCUGGAGCCUUUUGCAGGACAAGGGUCCACAACACCGAUGUUGAGUUCAGCCUCAUUGAGCGAUGAGCAGUGGAAGUCUGGAUUUUAUUCUACAAAUGAUUCGGUUCUAAGAAACUGAAGCCAGGUUGUUAGUGCAGGAACUGGCAGCAGCUGCCUUGGCUCUUUAGCUUGCUUCUCCCCCACCAGCAGUGCCAUACACCUGGCAUACAUACAUGCACCCCAGGGUCUCAGUGCUUCUUGUGCUGGUCCCACCAGCUGGGCACUGUGGCUGCCAGGUGAUGUGGUCCUAUGGCACCAGGAAUGCUGAAUCUGGCUGGACACAGGGUGGGCAGGGCUCUGCCCACGCUGGCUGGGAGAGACAAAGGGGCUGGAGGUGGGUGUGUAGCUCAUGAGCUGCUGUAUGUGUCCCUGUAGCAGCUGCAAAGCCACCGGAUGACAGCGGUGGUGGUGACAGCAGCCACUCAAACAUGGCUGUCCACAUGGUGGAGCUGACAUUUUCAUCCACUAAUGGUUUUUGGGGGAGGCUCACAGUUGUUCUUGGGGAAGGGAGAGAGAAGCAUCUUCCCUUCCUGUCUUUUAAGGAAGGAAAUAUUUUUAAAAUUGUGUCAAAGAAAAGAAAGAAAAAGAAAAUCAAGCAUGCUGUCAGAAGAUCACAGAUUCAAGUACAGUUGAAAUGAUCUUACACUGACAAACUUUGCCUGUGAACCUAUUACUAAUAUUUGCUUUACUUUUCGAGCCCUUACUGCUUCGAGAAGAUAGUACCAUCUAUCUCAGCCCCACCCUGCAGAACAAGAUUGCAAACCCUGGAGACUGAACUCCCCAAAGGAGCUUCAAACACAAACAUCCUUGAAUGAGACUGAGUUUCCCAUGGCAGUUGGUCACUUUGUCUUUCAGUCUAUUAAAAUCACCACACCUCUCCUACUCAUAAGCUCCCAUUUUACAGCAGAAGCCUGUGUUACUUAACUAUUAGCUCCAUUGAUUUUUUCUGCCUCUCCAGGUAGAAUCUCCAUUUCUCUGUGUCUUCUGUUUCUCUUCUCCAUUAUAUCCAGUUUCCUCACGCUCGGUACCAGUCUUGCGCUGACCUGCCCCUUCACCUUCCCCCUGUUUUCUCUAGAUGCUGAGCAGUGCUCUGUGCAACGCUCCUCAAUGGUUUUCUGAGAUUUAGAAGUAAUUGGCUUUCUUACCUCAGACAAGCGAUUAGCUGGUAAUGUUCAAGCAUAGGUUAAACUCUUGCUACAUUAUUUCCAUUCAUCUUCCCUCUCCUGAUUAUUCUUUCAAAUUUAGUUACAAAGCUGUGUGCUCUGCUGAGGGACUGAAACUGUUCGAGUAACUUUUUGUUCCUUAUGUAACAUAUAGAUACUAUAUCACUUCCCUUACAUUGUAGUGGUACUGUAUGAUCCUGACCUGAUGGAUUUAUUAAAUAUCCUUGUUUCAAAUGUUUGUUUGUGGUUGUGUUUUUUUUUUUUAACCCAUUUUUUUCAGUAUUCUUGCUUGGAGAUUAAUCAGACUUCUUACAGACACCUCAAACUGCUUCUCUUCCCAGUUUAAAAAAACACAGAUUUUUAUAUUCCCUGGUUUAUAAUCAAGUUCAAAUGCAUUAUAAAAUAGCUUUCUCUCUACAUUAUCUGAUCCUGUGCUUGUCACACUCACUGCGCACUGUUGGACCAACUGCUUGGACCAAGUUUAGAGUCAAAACCACAGCACACCCAGAGCUGAGAUUUAAGAGUGGUACGUUUUGGCUUAGUAUUGCCUCCACAAUAUUUUAUUUUUCCUCAUAUUUUCAGAUGACUCCUAAUAUAGUUUCACAUACCAAGCACUUUACUCACUUGUGUAGAUCAUUAAAAAGAAAAAAACCCACCCACCACAAAUAGUGUAUCUACGUAUUUUGCCACAAUGCAGGUAUGUUUUUUAAUUAUAAUUUCCAAUUCAGUACCAGGGUUAG